CUUGCAGGGUACUCGAGUGGCGAACGGGUGAGUAACACGUGGGUGAUCUGCCCUGCACUUCGGGAUAAGCUUGGGAAACUGGGUCUAAUACCGGAUAGGAGCCAUCUUUAGUGUGGUGGUUGGAAAGUUUUUCGGUGUAGGAUGGGCUCGCGGCCUAUCAGCUUGUUGGUGGGGUAAUGGCCUACCAAGGCGGCGACGGGUAGCCGGCCUGAGAGGGUGUACGGCCACAUUGGGACUGAGAUACGGCCCAG
Molecule: ribosomal RNA, 251 nt
Filed under: uncultured Actinomycetales bacterium
Lineage: Bacteria; Bacillati; Actinomycetota; Actinomycetes; Actinomycetales
Description: partial 16S ribosomal RNA
Rfam family: Bacterial small subunit ribosomal RNA
Source: RNAcentral